This 468-nucleotide ribosomal RNA is filed under the name uncultured bacterium. RNAcentral describes it as "partial 16S ribosomal RNA". It matches the Rfam family "Bacterial small subunit ribosomal RNA", at positions 28 to 507 of the family's 1533-position model. The record is from RNAcentral.
GACGAACGCUGGCGGCGUGCUUAACACAUGCGAGUCGAACGGAAAGGCCCUGCUUUUGUGGGGUGCUCGAGUGGCGAACGGGUGAGUAACACGUGAGUAACCUGCCCUUGACUUUGGGAUAACUUCAGGAAACUGGGGCUAAUACCGGAUAGGAGCUCCUGCUGCAUGGUGGGGGUUGGAAAGUUUCGGCGGUUGGGGAUGGACUCGCGGCUUAUCAGCUUGUUGGUGGGGUAGUGGCUUACCAAGGCUUUGACGGGUAGCCGGCCUGAGAGGGUGACCGGCCACAUUGGGACUGAGAUACGGCCCAGACUCCUACGGGAGGCAGCAGUGGGGAAUAUUACACAAUGGGCGGAAGCCUGAUGCAGCAACGCCGCGUGCGGGAUGACGGCCUUCGGGUUGUAAACCGCUUUCGCCUGUGACGAAGCGUGAGUGACGGUAAUGGGUAAAGAAGCACCGGCUAACUACGUG